Non-coding RNA from Mesocricetus auratus (golden hamster), 79 nucleotides. Lineage: Eukaryota; Metazoa; Chordata; Mammalia; Rodentia; Cricetidae. The record is from Rfam.
AGGUCUAUUAUGACAAACCUACCUCAUGAAGAGAGGUGAUGACAUAAAACUCGUGCUCAGGUUCUGGCUGCUGAGGCCC